This 374-nucleotide ribosomal RNA is filed under the name uncultured bacterium. RNAcentral's name for it is "bacterial SSU rRNA". It matches the Rfam family "Bacterial small subunit ribosomal RNA", at positions 524 to 898 of the family's 1533-position model. The record is from RNAcentral.
UACGGAGGGUGCAAGCGUUAAUCGGAAUAACUGGGCGUAAAGCGCACGCAGGCGGUCGGAUAAGUCAGAUGUGAAAGCCCCGGGCUCAACCUGGGAACUGCAUUUGAAACUGUUCGACUAGAGUCUUGUAGAGGGGGGUAGAAUUCCAGGUGUAGCGGUGAAAUGCGUAGAGAUCUGGAGGAAUACCGGUGGCGAAGGCGGCCCCCUGGACAAAGACUGACGCUCAGGUGCGAAAGCGUGGGGAGCAAACAGGAUUAGAUACCCUGGUAGUCCACGCUGUAAACGAUGUCAACUUGGAGUCUGUGCCAUUGAGCGUGGGCUCCGAAGCUAACGCGAUAAGUUGACCGCCUGGGGAGUACGGCCGCAAGGUUAAA